Molecule: long non-coding RNA, 719 nt
Organism: Pocillopora damicornis (cauliflower coral)
Lineage: Eukaryota; Metazoa; Cnidaria; Anthozoa; Scleractinia; Pocilloporidae
Source: RefSeq, a predicted model, not a curated record
CCGCAACCGCUUUGUGCUGCUGAGUUCGAGGAAUGCAACAUCCACCUUAGAGAGAAAAUGCACAUUUAAAUUACAUGUAAUCUUAUUGAUUUUAUAAUUCAAGUGUUUGUACAGGGAAGCGUUCAAAGCGCACAAAUUUAUCAUCCAAUACGUUGGGCGUUGAAAGUGGACUGAACAAAACUCAAAAACAAGGAACUCACUCAAGUUUAGACGCAGGGACAGCUAACACAUAACAUGAGACGCCGAUGCAAAGAUGGACGCUCUUUAGGGAGAGCAAGAAAAAUGAUUUCAAAAGCAUAUCCAGAGAUGAGGCCGCAGAGAAGUAAUGUACCUUUAAACCAAGUUGAUAAGAAUAACCGAGAUCUCACUGAACGGAGGACAUUGCUUCCACAUGGAAGAUAUCUCAAGACAUGUCAGGAAUGAUGUAAGACGAAUGCUUAGAUUUAGAACUCACUACUGUCGCAACAUCCUUUACUCGUGUAAACAAUAAUGCCUAAAAAGUUUAUUUGUUACGUUGAAAAAUAAAACCAUAAGUUCUGUAAUAAUGUUUUGUCUUCAUAGCGAAAUAAUCCCAACGAGGACGCAGUGGUCAACUCUGUAAUCUAAAAAAACAGUCUACUUAUGCUUUCGCGAUUUGCCAAUCAGAACUGAAAUGUUAUAAUUUAUGAAGCAUCCUUAUUUGGAAUCUAGUUUGAAUUAACAUCUUCCUUGGAACUCCA